AUGAAGGCUAUCUCAGGAUCUGCAAGAUGCAUUUCACUUGACCUUCCUGGACAUGGGGAAACAAGAUUUAAAGAUCAUGAUGGUAAGAAAAGUGGAGGGAAACCCAACUUGUCAAUUGAGAUGAUUGCAGAUAUAUUAGUUAAGUUGAUUCAACAUAUUACCCCUCACAAGGUUACCCUUGUUGGGUACUCCAUGGGAGCAAGGAUUGCAUUGUACAUGGCUAUGAGAUUCAGUCAGAAGAAGGAGCCGUUGUGAUAUCUGGAAGUCCUGGCCUAAAUGAUAUACUAGCGAGAAAAAUGCGAAGAGCAUAUGAUGAUUCCAGGGCACGCUUCUUGGUUGAUCAUGGUUUACAACUCUUUCUAGACAACUGGUACUCGGGAAACAUGUGGAAAAGCUUGAGAAGCCAUCCUCAUUUUACUCGAAUAGUUUCCAGCCGCUUGCUGAAUGAUGAUGUGUGUAGUCUGGCAAAAGUUUUAACCGAUCUAAGCAUUGGGAGACAGCCGUCACUGUGGGAAGGGCUGAAGCAAUGCAACACACACCUUUUGCUCAUUGUUGGAGAGAAAGAUGAAAAGUUUGUGGAAAUUAUGAAGAAAAUGUAUGAUGAGAUUAGGAAGAGCAAAAGUGAAAGAAAGAACUUAAUCUGUGAGAAAGUUGAAAUUCCCAACUGUGGACAUGCUGUCCAUUUGGAGAAUCCCCUUCCUCUUAUCCAAGCAGUGAGAAAAUUUUUGACAAGAGUGAAGCAGAAUCCUGCUUGUGAUGAAGCUGCAGUUUAGAUAGACUGUUUGGAUAUCCAAGUGCAUUUUAAGAAUUUCAGGUAGUUGAAUCCAUUUAUGAGUACUUCUGGUAUCUGGUAUUUUGAAUAUCUAGAUAAUCGAGUGCAUUUUGGACAUUUCAGGUACUCACCCCAGGGUGGGUUUCUAGACUUUCCAAGUAACCAUGGAGGGACAGGAUCCUAGAAGCUUCUCUCUUUCAAAUUCUUCUUCCAUGGAGCAGGAUUUUUCUGAUCAGAUUAAGGGUAAUAAUGGGUCAUCCAAAAACAACCCUUCUGUAAAUGGGACCGAUCAGUGUAAAAAUAAUACAACAACAUCGGAUCAUUCUAUCAGUAUAUCGAAUUUGGAGAUGGAAGAGAAUAAGAAUGUUUAUACCGAUGAAGAUUUGCCUUUACUUAAAAAGUUAAAUCAGAAAUGGAAUACCAUUGUUGCUGUCCUUUCCUUUACAGGCUUAUUUUCCCUUCUCAGCAUCAACUAUAAAAUGAACCACGAAGGUCACCCGACACCAGAAAUCUUAUUUAGAAAACACCCAUAUACCUUUUACAUAUUUCUGCUUGAUAUCAUGUUGACAUUUUUCUCGUCUAUCAAUGCUCUUGCUUGCGGUGAAAAAUACCCGAAAACUACCAAGGCAUUUAGCCUGUUAGCGUUAACUGGUGUUAUGUUGUCAUUCACCAUAUUGCUGUGGACACUACUGCCUCCAAGAGUGAGCUGGGCUCCACUGAUCUUCUUCGUUUUGACGUUUGGAUCAAUCGUUUACCAUUGCAAAUGUGUCAACUGGUUGAGGACAAAGAUUGUUGAGAAGCUCCCAUGGUAAUUUGGUUUUGAUCAAUUCUCAAUUAGCAGAGAGGAUUUGUGAUGGUGUUUGCUUAUAUAUAUAUAUAUAAGUUAUAGUGUGUCAAAGUACAUCAAGUGGCUGUAAAUGGCAAUGAACUUUCUUAGUACAUCCGUAGAUGCUAAUCAAAUAAGUGAAGCAUCGCUGUACAUCAUAAUCUUUGCAAAUAAUUAAUGAGUUUUUAUGUUAA
Non-coding RNA from Carica papaya (papaya), 1792 nucleotides. Lineage: Eukaryota; Viridiplantae; Streptophyta; Magnoliopsida; Brassicales; Caricaceae. The record is from RefSeq and is a predicted model, not a curated record.